CUGAGCAAGCAGCUGAGUUUCUAAGAACCAGAUCCAUCCACACAGACCACAAAAGACCCCAGCUUCAGCCUGUCAACAGGCAAACAGCCACCAAGAGUCCCGCCGCCGGCCACACCCCGAGAAGCCCACCUGCAGGGUGACAAGGACACUGACAAGGCAAAUUGAUACAUUACAGUAUUUCAGGGGUAGGGCAAAGAAGUGCCAAACAAGAGGAUAUUUACAUGGGCCCUCUGUUUUUGCCUGUCACUGCAUUUCAGCGGAACACAAGAUAAGCAAAACACAAGUUGGAUGCCAGUCCCGGCACCACUGGAUCUGAUCUUACAACCGUGAAAAGGAACAGCCCAGGGGCGGACCCAGAGCAGUUUUUAAUGACGCCAAUUCAGAAACAGCAAAGCUCAAAGGGCACCUGGCAGUUUUCCUUUCAGAUAAAAGGAAUAAAAACUCAUCCUAGGGGAUGCAAAUCAGUCAAACCCAGAGGCAGCUAAGGGGGGCACUGAGCAAGGCUGAGAAGCAGGAGAAGGAGAGAAAAGCCUUUCCUGGGAACCAGGCAGGAGAAGGCGAGAUGCACGCACACAUCCACGCCGGGCUGACUCCACAGAAAACCAGCUCCCAUCAACAUGUCAGGACAGUCAGAGUUUUCUGGAAGGUUUUGUUCUGACUGGGGGUUUCUUGACCUGGGGUCCACGGACACAGAAUGCCAUGGUUCGGAGAACACCUGUGGACUUGGAAGGGAAGGAAAACUCCCAAGAAACGAUUCUACAAAGGGGAGUGGGUGUGGAAUAAGGAGGCGCUCUGAAUUUAUCUCGUUUGUCAUCCCCAACCUUCAAGACAAACUCUGCCAACGUCCCCCUCGCGUCCACUGCCACUGCAGGGAGUCAGAGGGUGGGCGUCCCAGGUGUCCUCAAGCGCUGCUGCAUGUCAGAAACACGUGGAGCCUCAGGAAUGCUCACGCCCACGUCCAGCCCAGGUUCAAACUCCCUGCGAGGUUGGCAAGCACAGCCCAAGGGACGUGCAGACUGAGAACCACCGGGCUCGACUCAGGCCUGGUGAAGGCGUGGUGGAGAGCAAGGACCUCCUCACGCCGGCAGAAAGGCGGGAGUGGACUCAGCAAAGGAACCAGGGAUGCGCAUCGCAGGGUCGGAGUCUGAGUAACCGAACCUGCAGCCUCCUGGCCUCCAGAAACGUCACAUUUUAUUCUGAGUAAAGAAAGUAGCAUUUCUUGAGACAGAUGUUCAACAAAUUUCUAUCAGAUGAACGACUGUAUACCACGUGGAUUGGUAUUUAGAAUGGACUGUGCACUUGGGGAAACAAUAUCGUGAAGACGGUUCCACAUCUUCCUGAGUUCUGUGAGCUCGUUUAAGGCAGGUGUUUAAAGUCUUGGUCUGGUAGGUCUGCCAUCCGGCCGUUUUCAGGGACAGCUCUGUUGAGUUAGCUUUUCCUUGCAACAGGCCAUAUUUCCUGUUUCUUUGUGUGCCUUGUGAUUUUUAGUUGAAAUCUGGACCCUUGAAGCUAACGAGGUGGUAACUCUGGAAAUCAGAUCCUCCCCUCCGUGGGGUUUGCUGUCUCGUGUCGUGUUUCUGUGGUUUUGAUUGUCGCAGGCUGUGCUGAGGAUGGGCCCGAGGCGUCAGCUUGUCAGCUUGAGGUUUUCUCAGGUGUUUUCUGAGUCGCUGCCUUUCCCUGGGCACACACAGUCACUUCCUAAUUUCCCUGGUGUGCAACGGUUUGAACGUCCUAGUCUUUAGUGUCUGGCUCCCAAAAUGUAAGACAGAGAAAAAAGGUGGGGAGGAGGGUGCCAACCCUUUAAAUCCCCUGGGAUCACCUCAGCCUGAGUGCCUUGCCACAAUGUGGGGGGGGGGGGGUGCAACAACAAGGGUUGCCCCCUCUGUGACUGCCCCUCUGUGAUCAGAAGCAGCAAUCACAACACAGAUCCCCGUUAUCUGGAGGACAGGGUCCUUUUUGCUGGCUGUGUCCGUGUCUCCCGCACGCCUGUGCGAGCCGCUGCAGGAACACGCACACAGUUGCCUCCACGUGGCCGGGGGUAGGGGCCUGGGUAGCGGCUCCUGUGCUAAGAGCUGGAACUGACUGACAUUAAUCUCAAUUGACCGUCCAAGGCUUCCUCUGGGAGUUGCAAGCCUUCAGCAGACUCCAGGGCUCCCACUUAGUUCCCUCAGACAGAUCCUGCCGGCACAGUUGCUCUCCGUGUGGAUGGGGAGCCAGAUUCCCACCCCACUCCGCCUUCCAACUCCGCCUUCUUCCCAGAAUUCUCUCUGUGACUGUUUCUUGAGGGUGGGGGUGUAGAUGAUUCUCACCUUAUUUUGUUUACUUUGUUUAUUUCUGCUUUGUAUGAAUUUUUAAUAAACACAUUACUUUCAUAAUCAGAAAUAAAGAAUUUAUAUUCUGGAAAAGGAAAAGCACGGCCCUAAUUUACCCCUCCUGCUGAGUCUGCCGGUCAUUCCGCGAGUCUGUUCACCUCCACUCUUGAGGAAUAUGAGCCUGUCUACCGGAAGAAAGAUGACCUUUCCAGGACCCUUUGCAGCUAGGUGUGUCCAAGGUCUGGCCAUUGAGAUAUAAGUGGAAAUAGAGCAGCUUCCAGAAAUCUUCUCUAUGAGAUCAUUGGAGCGUGCCCUUUGUCAUUCUCCAUCCUGCAGCCUGGAAUGCAGCGGCCACCACCUUGAGCCGAGGCUGAGACCCUGCCCUGAGUGAGGCCACGACGUCACCCCUGGGUGCCUGACCCAGCAGAGCAUCACACCCUCCUGAGCCUACACCUGGACUUUCCCACGAGGCAGCCACUCACUUCCCUCUCGUGUAAGCCACCGUCGCUUGCUGUUUUCUAGUCA
This 2837-nucleotide long non-coding RNA is filed under the name Equus caballus (horse). RNAcentral's name for it is "lncRNA (ENSECAG00000047544.1)". The record is from RNAcentral. Lineage: Eukaryota; Metazoa; Chordata; Mammalia; Perissodactyla; Equidae.